Non-coding RNA from Callorhinus ursinus (northern fur seal), 145 nucleotides. Lineage: Eukaryota; Metazoa; Chordata; Mammalia; Carnivora; Otariidae. The record is from RefSeq and is a predicted model, not a curated record.
AGCAACGGAAUGGCACACACUGCUUCUGUAAAGUGACGUCUUUCAGACACUUGGUGGCUUUUCGGAUAUGCAUACGCUUGAUGGCCUGGGCAGUUUCACAUGUGUUCUUAAAGUGAACACGAAGAUGUAAAAGACCUAGCCCUGC